AUUUUGGUUUUCUAAUGACCUAAAACACCUAAAAACAUAUUCUAAGACAAGUUCUAAGUAAUAUGACUCAAAGAAAUAAGGUGGGGUUGAUUUUGGACGAAAUUAAUUAAAACAAAACAAGAACAAAGUAAACAUAUUUUUAGACAAAGUUAAGUAAAUUGAUGGGUGAUAGAUCAACUAGAGGGUUCUUCUCCACACAUGAUACACUUGCAUUCAACUUUGAUUUCCAAUUGCUUCUUUCAAUGAAUUAUGAAUCUCAACGCCCUAGGUUAACUGUGAUAGCACUUUUUUAACCUUCAAGUUUUCCUAAAGUUAGUGAAUUG
Molecule: long non-coding RNA, 323 nt
Filed under: Malus domestica (apple)
Lineage: Eukaryota; Viridiplantae; Streptophyta; Magnoliopsida; Rosales; Rosaceae
Description: long non-coding RNA (MDOM_LNC019957)
Source: RNAcentral